CCUAGAUCAACUACUAGCUGAUCUAAAGUCACUGCGAUGUGCCGAACCAUUGCGGCAGCUCUUGAAAACUUUCACGCGUUGUCCCGUGACACACAGGAAGGAUGCCCUCCAGAUGCCUGCCUGACCUUGCAUCACACGCGGUACCCCACCUCAACGCGUGGCACUGUCAGCCCCAGCCCCUGAAAACUACGCCUUCAGUGGACAAGCUUGGGGCAGGAUUUGGCUGGCAGCAGCUUGGUGGCCUCUGCCCCAG
Long non-coding RNA from Physeter macrocephalus (sperm whale), 253 nucleotides. RefSeq lists it as uncharacterized. The record is from RefSeq and is a predicted model, not a curated record. Lineage: Eukaryota; Metazoa; Chordata; Mammalia; Artiodactyla; Physeteridae. The transcript is spliced from 3 exons.